AUCUGGUCAGCUGGUCUCUCAAUGCAAUUGAUCAAAUUUUCUCCACAGGAAGACUGGGCAAAGGAGAGUCUGCUUGUCCUGCAGGGACAUACCCGUCAGGAUACAUUUUGGACUCGUGGGAUGUUUACAAAAAUUUUUGUCUGUCCAUGUUAUCCCUGGAAGAUGCGGAGGAUCUGUAUUUAUUUGGAUUCAUAAGAUUUCUGCUGUUUGGAGUUGGUGGAUACCUGGCUUAUUGACAAAUUCAGAAGAUGUUGGCAGUCGUUUUGGCCCUUGUCAAGCUGCCUGAUCAAUAUUAUGGAUUUGACUGACUAGCAAAUACUCAGACUAACAUGCUGUGGGACCAGAGCCGUAAGCUGGAUGCGAAUCUUACUGAGAUUCGCAAACCAGCUGCAGGCCCUGGAUCUCACCAGUGAGAUGGAAUCAACAUUUUGGAGAAGUUGCUAGUUCCGACCGGCGGGAACGGCCAUACUAAUUUGGAUGAUUGAAAUUAACAGAGAUGUACCGGUGAGACUGUAGGGCAGAUAGAAAUUAAAAGUCUACCCAAUCUAAAGAAUAUUGUCUCCAUAUGAACUGGCUCCUCUGUGUUGGCCUUGGCUGGCUCAGUUCUCCUGGUUUACAUAUCAUCUGCAACUGAUAUGUAAACAAGAUGCUCUUUCACACCUCGUUCCCUUCCUGAAGACAUCCUUGCAAAUGUGGAGCAGAUUGCUCCCAAGAACUUGCUCAGUAAGACCAUAGUAUCAGAGACUAUUGCCUGGGAGAGUUGGCUGAAUGGGGUUCAUGGACUUCCUGCACACAUAUCUCAAGGCUACAGAUACACACUUCCUGAUUUCACUGCCUUUUGCUGGCUGCAUUUCUGAAUGUUUGUAUUUCUAUAAUCUUUUGCAGUGUUGUAGUGCUUUUUAUUUAUUGUCAGGUGGAGGGAGUCAGAGAAAGCCGUCUGUGAUAGCAGUGCAUGCAUAUUGUAACCCAAGUGAAAUGUUGAGUUCCAUUUUCUGGUUCGCUACUAUUGCCCUCCAAAAUCUCGCGGUAGUUUGAUUAUAUAACUGCAAUUCUCGCGAGAUUUACUAAGCAGCCAAUCAUUGUUGAGCGUCUGAGUCACAUGUACCACCGUCAGCUCAUUUGUUGGGUAUAUUAGCUGGAGCAAAAAGCAUGGAGGAUUAGAACAAGUUUGGGAGAGCAGAGCUGCAGGUCGGUUAAGCGCAACAUUCUGUUUUUCUUUAAUCUUGUAUGAUGCUGAUAAAAUUGUACUAACUUUAGGAGUCUCCGGUCGUAAGCUGAGGGAUAAGAGAAACACAAAACCGCUUGUAUGCCUUAUGAACUGCGGAAUUGGCCAGGUUCGAUGGCGAGCUGAAGAAUCAGGUCCAAGAGCCUAAAGGAAUUCACCUGUGGUGUUAAGAUUUGGUUUUCCCACCAGGCUGGUGGGAGGCUUCCUGCAGCCCAUGAACAAAGUUGUUCCCACUCUGAUCUGACUUUUGUCAGCAUAUGAACUGCAACAGGCGCUCUAAACCCACCUGACCCUGUUGAACCGCCUCAGUUCAGGGGGGUUUUAUGAACUGAAUGGUGUGGCUUGUUACUGGAACUGUGGAACUGAUUUGUUUUUUUUAUUUGUUAAUUUAAUUUGUUUUCUUUGUGUAUUAUUUCCUUUUAUUUUAAUAUGGCCAUUUAAAUGUUUUUUUUCCUUUCUUAUUGUAAUGUAAAUAAUUAAUCACUGUGAAUACAAGGCACUCACAUCUGCAA
Poecilia latipinna (sailfin molly) is the source of this 1737-nucleotide long non-coding RNA. RefSeq lists it as uncharacterized. The record is from RefSeq and is a predicted model, not a curated record. Lineage: Eukaryota; Metazoa; Chordata; Actinopteri; Cyprinodontiformes; Poeciliidae. The transcript is spliced from 2 exons.